RNAcentral lists this ribosomal RNA (425 nucleotides) under uncultured bacterium. RNAcentral's name for it is "partial 16S ribosomal RNA". It matches the Rfam family "Bacterial small subunit ribosomal RNA", at positions 354 to 796 of the family's 1533-position model. The record is from RNAcentral.
GUGAGGAAUAUUGCGCAAUGGGCGAAAGCCUGACGCAGCCAUGCCGCGUGAAUGAUGAAGGUCUUAGGAUUGUAAAAUUCUUUCACCGGGGACGAUAAUGACGGUACCCGGAGAAGAAGCUCCGGCUAACUUCGUGCCAGCAGCCGCGGUAAUACGAAGGGGGCUAGCGUUGCUCGGAAUUACUGGGCGUAAAGGGCGCGUAGGCGGACAGCUUAGUCAGAGGUGAAAGCCCAGGGCUCAACCUUGGAAUUGCCUUUGAUACUGGCUGUCUUGAGUUUGGGAGAGGUGAGUGGAACUCCGAGUGUAGAGGUGAAAUUCGUAGAUAUUCGGAAGAACACCAGUGGCGAAGGCGACUCACUGGCCCAAUACUGACGCUGAGGCGCGAAAGCGUGGGGAGCAAACAGGAUUAGAAACCCGUGUAGUCC